Molecule: long non-coding RNA, 2929 nt
Organism: Malus domestica (apple)
Lineage: Eukaryota; Viridiplantae; Streptophyta; Magnoliopsida; Rosales; Rosaceae
Source: RefSeq, a predicted model, not a curated record
UCUUUGGUUACAAGUUCAACGAACCUGGAUGCUAGGGUUGAAUCCUCAGUUUUCUAUAAAUAGCCAAGACCAACCACUUUAUUCUAGUAACCAAAAGCUCUCACCACACUCUAAUUAUUUCCUACAGUCUUUCUGACUUACGCAUUGGAGACCUUUUUGCAAACACUACACGGUAGUAGUGUAAUUCCAUGUGUCUAUUUUCUUUGUGUGUGUAGAUUUUCAUCAAUUCAAUCCGUGACGGAAAUUUGCUCGUGCAAAUUUCACAUUGAUGGGAAGAGGACCUUGCUUGGGCUUAUACGUAAGUUAGGUUACUUCUCAUAUGCCAAUUGAUUUUAUGAUGAAAAUUAAACUUUCUUCAAUAUUUUGUCUGAUUUCUUCAAUUUAUUCCAAUCCUUUAAUUUCACCAAUAUUGUUUGAUUGUUGAAUUGGGGAUGAAUUGUUAAUUCAUUGUUAGUAAUAGAUCCAUGAUAUGAUUUAUUUGUCGAUUUUCCUUCUGGACUUGUAAGGAGCUGCCAAUUUUACCUCUAAACUUUAAUUUUAGCCAAUUACCCUCUGAACCUUUAUAAUUGGCCAAUUUCUCCCUUGAACUUUAGUUUAGUCGAUCACCCCCUAAACUUUUAUAAUUGAUCAAUUUCCUCUUGGGGUUGGAUUUUGGAAUUUUUCAUUCAAUUUUCCAUUCAUCUUGGUCACAUGCACGACACAUGACAAUUGUUUGAAAGCCAGGUAAUAUUAUCCCUAAUGUGGACAACACAUUUUUUUUUCUUCCUCUUCUCUUCCACUAGUUCACGUCGUACAAUUUUUGUUUGAAUUCUAUCUCUAAUGUGGACAACUAUGAAUCUUCUCCAAGGUCUUGCUUUUUCAACAAUAUGUUGGGUUGUGAUGCCAUUUCAUUAGCCUUCUUUAUGACAUGAUUCACAUUAUCGUCUCGGUCCACCUAUUCCAAUUCAAGACCCAAAUUCAAAUAAGAAAAGUAAUUACUCUCAACAAAUUCGUUACUAGAAACUAGCCAAUUACAAGAGGGUUGGUUAAAAUUAAAGUUCAGGAGAAAAUUGGCAUCUCUUACAAAUUAGGUGGAAAAGCGGUGAAUACCUCUUUAAUCGAUACUACUAUGCUGAUGUGGACAAACUAAUAUCAAUUAUAUUAGUAUAAUAAAUUUUUUUAAAUGCGGAUAAAUGAACUGAUGCUAAAUGCUGAGACUUGGGAUAAUAGAGUCGUCUAAAAUAAUACAUAUGAUAUUAUCUACACUACACUACACUAUAGGUGUGGGAGAGUGGGUCUACCAUAAUAAUUUGGUUCAAAUUCGCUUUUGAUGAGAAUUGAACAUAAUAACUCUUAUUUAUGAGUGAAAAAAAUACUACUAUACUAUAAUAUUAGGUGACAAAAUAAAAAGAAUGUUAGCAAGAUCUUAAAAUUGGGAUUAGCCCAUAACCGACAAAACCAAACUGCACAACGAUAGUCAAGUUUGGUUUACUUUUCACCCAUUACUUUGGUUAAAAACAGAACAAACUGAUGUUAUAUAAUAAUUGGUUUGGGUGGAAAACCAAAAUGGUUAUCAAAAUUUUGGCCUUGCCUUAUUUUUGGGCGGUUUUAAAGUUUGGCUUUUGGUUUUUAGCUUCCAAUAAUAGUUAUCAAAUUUUUUUUUUAUUUUCUACUGAAAUGAUUGUCAAACAGGCCCAAGACAUUUUAUCAAUUAGAAAAAACAAAAAAAAAAAUUCAUGAAUCUUGAAUCUCUCCAUAUAAAUAUGUAUAUUUUUCACAUUUUACUAUAUGUAAACCAUUGUAGUAUUUAAGGACUUAAGACAUGGCACACCAGUUAUCGUUUCAAUUGUCCUGAGUUCCAUGGUUUGACGAUUUUUGGCCACAACAAUCACUACCUACUUCAACGUCUCCAAAGUGAUAUUGAUAUGUAUCUGUUGUCUUGUCGAUCUAUUCUUUUCAUCUAUUUGAUAAUGGGAAUCAUUCAUUCCCCACUUUCCAAUACAAAUCAUGAGGAGAGCACAUGAUUACAUGAGCGAUGGCUAAAACUCAAAGCCCACAAAACCAAAUUGCCAAAUCAGUGAUGAUUAGCAACAAAAGGAAAAAAGAGAGAAAAAGGUGGAACAUUGUUCUUGUUCAUACAUUCGGGUGUGGCUACAAUCAGAGGCGGAGCCACAGUGGGGUCAAUGGGGUCGCACGACCCCUUGGAAGCCAUGGAAAUAACCUUAGAGGUCCCUUGGAGCUGCUGGUGCGACCCCUUAAAGCUGCUGGUGCGACCUCUUGGAUCUGCUGCAUUUUUCUGGGUUUCUUCUGGUUUUCGUUCGGUUUGGCGGAAGAGGAAGACGAAGACGAAGACGUUCUCUCUCUUCCUUUCACACCACGUGACCACACACUCUUCUUAUUUAAUUUUUUUUCUUAGUUUCUCUCCGAUCAAAUUUGUACAGCUAGCAUCAAAUUGCUUGCUUUGUGUAAAAAGCCAUAGGCUGUCAGUUCGGUUCGUGUGUCAAGUUGAAGAUGUCACCAUUAAGUCUUGGUGCAGAUUGCAAAGUUCCCAUGCGUCCACAUCCACAUAUUUGACAUAAAUUAAUGGGAAAGUGAAGGCACCUUUUAGUAUGGUAACUAUCGGCGAGAGGCUGAUCACGCUAUCCUACCAAGAUCCGAUGAAAUGACGAUAUGCAUGCCGUUUCUGUUAAAAAAAAAUUUCGCGCUGCGGGCGCUAUCCUUGUUGACCCCCCAAACAUUAUUUCAUGGAUCCGCCACUGGCUACAAUGUCCCGUGACCUUAGUGCAGAUCUGUUUUUUUUUUUCUUUUCUUUUUUAAAUUUGACCCGUUCUUGUACGUAAACAUAUGAAACUGCAAAAAAUAUACACCAAAAACAAAUUAAAAGAAAAAUAAAAAACCUGGGGUUUGUGCAGUCAAGUUGGACUAAAUAAAGAAUGAAUGUUUUGCUGAA